ACUCCUACGGGAGGCAGCAGUGGGGAAUAUUGCGCAAUGGGGGAAACCCUGACGCAGCGACGCCGCGUGAGCGAAGAAGGCCUUAGGGUUGUAAACCUCUGUUUUAAGGGACGAAUGUCGUGGGGAGUAACAUGCUCUGCGAAUGACGGUACCUUAAGAGGAAGCCCCGGCUAACUACGUGCCAGCGGCCGCGGUAAGACGUAGGGGGCGAGCGUUGUCCGGAAUUACUGGGCGUAAAGAGCACGUAGGCGGGAACUUAAGUCAGGUGUGAAAGACCGGGGCUCAACUCCGGGGUUGCACUUGAAACUGGGUUUCUUGAGGGCAGGAGAGGAAAGCAGAAUUCCUGGUGUAGCGGUGAAAUGCGUAGAAAUCAGGAGGAAUACCAGUGGCGAAGGCGGCUUUCUGGACUGACCCUGACGCUGAGGUGCGAAAGCGUGGGUAGCAAACAGGAUUAGAUACCCUGGUAGUCCACGCCGUAAACGAUGGAUACUAGGUGUGGGAGGUAUCGACCCCUUCCGUGCCGCAGCUAACGCAAUAAGUGCUCCGCCUGGGGACUACGGCCGCAAGGUUGAAACUCAAAUGAAUUGACGG
This 591-nucleotide ribosomal RNA is filed under the name uncultured bacterium. RNAcentral's name for it is "bacterial SSU rRNA". It matches the Rfam family "Bacterial small subunit ribosomal RNA", at positions 335 to 916 of the family's 1533-position model. The record is from RNAcentral.